RNAcentral lists this transfer RNA (61 nucleotides) under Staphylinidae sp. 1 EF-2015. RNAcentral describes it as "tRNA-Cys". The record is from RNAcentral. Lineage: Eukaryota; Metazoa; Arthropoda; Insecta; Coleoptera; Staphylinidae.
AGUCUUAUAGUCAAAAUAUGAUUUUAGACUGCAAAUCUAAAGGUGAAUUAAUCUAAGGCUU